GCACGGGUGAGUAACGCGUGGGAACCUGCCUCUUGGUUUGGAAUAACCGCGGGAAACUGCGGCUAAUACCGGAUACGUCGGUUAUCUGUGGUGGGUAGCUGGGAAAGAUUUAUCGCCGAGAGAGGGGCCCGCGUCUGAUUAGGUAGUUGGUGAGGUAACGGCUCACCAAGCCUUCGAUCGGUAGCUGGUCUGAGAGGAUGAUCAGCCACACUGGGACUGAGACACGGCCCAGACUCCUACGGGAGGCAGCAGUGGGGAAUAUUGGACAAUGGGCGCAAGCCUGAACCAGCCAUGCCGCGUGCAGGAAGACGGCCCUACGGGUUGUAAACUGCUUUUGCAGGGGAAUAAACCUCAUUACGUGUAAUGAGUUGAAUGUACUCUGAGAAUAAGGAUCGGCUAACUCCGUGCCAGCAGCCGCGGUAAUACGGAGGAUCCAAGCGUUAUCCGGAUUUAUUGGGUUUAAAGGGUGCGUAGGCGGCCUAUUAAGUCAGGGGUGAAAGACGGUAGCUUAACUAUCGCAGUGCCUUUGAUACUGAUGGGCUUGAAUGUACUAGAGGUAGGCGGAAUGUGACAAGUAGCGGUGAAAUGCAUAGAUAUGUCACAGAACACCA
This 611-nucleotide ribosomal RNA is filed under the name uncultured bacterium. RNAcentral describes it as "bacterial SSU rRNA". It matches the Rfam family "Bacterial small subunit ribosomal RNA", at positions 100 to 711 of the family's 1533-position model. The record is from RNAcentral.